This 230-nucleotide ribosomal RNA is filed under the name uncultured bacterium. RNAcentral's name for it is "partial 16S ribosomal RNA". It matches the Rfam family "Bacterial small subunit ribosomal RNA", at positions 104 to 334 of the family's 1533-position model. The record is from RNAcentral.
CGGGGUGGAGUAAUGCUUGGGAAUCUAGCUUAUGGAGGGGGAUAACUACGGGAAACUGUAGCUAAUACCGCGUAGUAUCGGAAGAUGAAAGUGUGGGACCUUCGGGCCACAUGCCAUAGGAUGAGCCCAAGUGGGAUUGGGUAGUUGGUGAGGUAAAGGCUCACCAAGCCGACGAUCUCUAGCUGGUCUGAGAGGAUGACCAGCCACACUGGGACUGAGACACGGCCCAG